UACGUAGGGUGCAAGCGUUAUCCGGAAUUAUUGGGCGUAAAGAGCUCGUAGGCGGUUUGUCGCGUCUGCUGUGAAAACCCGGGCUCAACCCCGGGCCUGCAUUCGAUACGGGCAGACUAGAGUUCGGUAGGGGAGUCUGGAAUUCCUGGUGUAGCGGUGAAAUGCGCAGAUAUCAGGAGGAACACCGGUGGCGAAGGCGGGUCUCUGGGCCGAUACUGACGCUGAGGAGCGAAAGCGUGGGGAGCAAACAGG
This 252-nucleotide ribosomal RNA is filed under the name uncultured bacterium. RNAcentral's name for it is "partial 16S ribosomal RNA". It matches the Rfam family "Bacterial small subunit ribosomal RNA", at positions 524 to 776 of the family's 1533-position model. The record is from RNAcentral.